This 207-nucleotide unclassified non-coding RNA is filed under the name soil metagenome. Its description in RNAcentral is "partial contains 5.8S ribosomal RNA, internal transcribed spacer 2, and large subunit ribosomal RNA". The record is from RNAcentral.
AACCAUUCUCACCUGCGGCUAGACCUGCGGAAGGAUCAUUACCGAGCGAGGGCCUCCGGGUCCGACCUCCAACCCCAUGUUAUUCGACCCUGUUGCCUCGGGGGCGACCCGGCCUUCGGGCGUCGGGGCCCCCGGUGGACCACUCAACUCUGCAUCAUUGCGUCCGAGUCACAUAUUGAAUCAAUCAAAACUUUCAGCAACGGAUCU